UACGAAGGGGGCUAGCGUUGUUCGGAAUCACUGGGCGUAAAGGGCGCGUAGGCGGUCUUUUAAGUCGGGGGUGAAAGCCUGUGGCUCAACCACAGAAUUGCCUUCGAUACUGGGAGACUUGAGUUCGGAAGAGGUUGGUGGAACUGCGAGUGUAGAGGUGAAAUUCGUAGAUAUUCGCAAGAACACCGGUGGCGAAGGCGGCCAACUGGUCCGACACUGACGCUGAGGCGCGAAAGCGUGGGGAGCAAACAGG
Molecule: ribosomal RNA, 253 nt
Filed under: uncultured bacterium
Lineage: Bacteria
Description: partial 16S ribosomal RNA
Rfam family: Bacterial small subunit ribosomal RNA
Source: RNAcentral